Molecule: ribosomal RNA, 252 nt
Filed under: uncultured prokaryote
Description: partial 16S rRNA
Rfam family: Archaeal small subunit ribosomal RNA
Source: RNAcentral
ACCGGCGGCUCGAGUGGUGGCCACUAUUACUGGGCUUAAAGCGUUCGUAGCUGGCUUGUUAAGUCUCUGGGGAAAUCUUCCGGCUCAACCGGAAGGCGUCUCAGGGAUACUGGCAGGCUAGGGACCGGAAGAGGUGAGAGGUACUCCAGGGGUAGGAGUGAAACCCGGUGAUCCCUGGGGGGCGAAAUGUAGGGAAGGCGUCUCACCAGGAGGGCUCCCACAGUGAGGAACGAGAGCUGGGAGAGCAAGGCG